This is a small nucleolar RNA of Ornithorhynchus anatinus (platypus), 138 nucleotides long. The record is from RefSeq and is a predicted model, not a curated record. NCBI's taxonomy places the organism in Eukaryota, Metazoa, Chordata, Mammalia, Monotremata, Ornithorhynchidae.
GCCCUCUCAGGGUCACACCUGGAGAGGGUCCAGUCCUCUACCAGUCUCGACUACAGGAGGGAAAGUGAGGCAGAGGCCUGUCCGUUCCAUUCCUAGCUUGGCCAGUGGCUAGCGAGCGGAAGGCAAUCUGCUACGCGU